UACGUAGGGGGCAAGCGUUGUCCGGAAUCAUUGGGCGUAAAGAGCGCGUAGGCGGCCCGAUAAGUCCGCUGUGAAAGUCCAGGGCUCAACCCUGGAAUGGCGGUGGAUACUGUCGGGCUCGAAUCCGGAAGAGGUGAGUGGAAUUCCUGGUGUAGCGGUGAAAUGCGCAGAUAUCAGGAGGAACACCAAUGGCGAAGGCAGCUCACUGGGACGGUAUUGACGCUGAGACGCGAAAGCGUGGGGAGCAAACAGG
RNAcentral lists this ribosomal RNA (253 nucleotides) under uncultured bacterium. RNAcentral's name for it is "partial 16S ribosomal RNA". It matches the Rfam family "Bacterial small subunit ribosomal RNA", at positions 524 to 776 of the family's 1533-position model. The record is from RNAcentral.